UGGCAUGACAGCAUCCCUUUUGGGCGCAAGUUUUGAGGGGUUUGUUUUGGACGACGAGAUGCAUUCCAAUUCCUAUCGGGCCUUGCGCGGGAUCGAAGUGAAUGACGCAACCCUGGGGUUUGAAACGAUCUGUGAAGCUGUUUUGGGAGAGGGACAUUUCCUAGGCAAAAGCGACACCUACGCCGCGAUGGAACGCGAUUAUUUCUAUCCAGCUAUCGCAGAUCGCAAUGAACCGCGUACCUGGGCAGAAACAGGUGCGACCAGCGCGUGGGAACGGGCCAAUUUGAAGG
This 290-nucleotide ribosomal RNA is filed under the name uncultured eukaryote. Its description in RNAcentral is "partial 18S ribosomal RNA". The record is from RNAcentral.